UAGAGAAAUUUUUGGUUUGUCCAAAGAGACUCCAGACUUUUUAUUUUCUAAAUUGAAUUUUAAGGAGAAGUUUUAGGUUCCUACGAAAAGACUCCAGGCUUUCUUUUAAAACAGAGACUGUGUGAUUCAUCUGCCCCCAGCACCUAGCAUGGCCUCUGGCUCAUAGCCGGGGUUCAAAUGCAUGCUUGUUUGGUAAUAAGUGAGGCAAGACACACUGGGAAUGAUUUAAAAAAAUAACAAAGAGAUGUAUCUUUACACACAUCUUUGCUGUUGAAAAUGAAGUCCGUGAAAGUUUUCUGGGAAUUCAAAAGUAGUUCUUUUUCAUGGGCCCUCCUUGGUUGGUUUUCAAGUUUGCCCUGAAGCAUCUUCUGUCCAAAUAGCCUUUCGCUGGCAGCAGUUCUACCUUCAUCCAGAAGAUGGCGGGCGAGGCCAGCAAGCGAGCUUCGCAAUGCAGCCAGGCGCCAGGCCUAGGCAGGUGACCCUUUUUUAACAAAAGAUGCGGGCACCUGAAGCCUAUUUGCCAACCCCAUAAAUGCGCAUGGGCGACAAGAACUUCGGGAUAGGUUCUGGUGUUGAUCCCCGUGAAAAGGAGCCUUUUUGAAAGGGUGUUUCAGGGGGAGCAUGGCAGCAAGUGGUUAAAGGGCAGGUCCUCUAAAACUCUCCUUUGAAUGGGGAAAACACUGUGGAAAAUGAACUUCCUAUAAAGCAGGCACAGCCCUCAAAGUCUCCGUGACUCAGGACGACGUGCUUUUUUGCCUCUUGAAGCUUACUUGCUUUGGAAAUGGUUCCCGGCUCCCUGGCCACCUCCACAGCUGACCGGAAGCUUCUCUUGGGUCACAAUUCCUCCUCCUCACAGGUCUGCACACUCCCAACAGGAACAGCAUUCUUGAGGAGGCAUUUCUACUCCUGACUGGUGUCGCUGGGCGAGUUUAUCACAUCACUUCAAGAUCCCCACUGCCUCUGAGUGAGCCAAGCUAUAGAAAGGUGUCUAAGUAGCAGCAUGCGAGAUCUUCAGCUGAAGCAUGUGGGAUUUAACUCCCUGACAAGGGAUUGAACCUGGGCCCCCUGCAUUGGGAACACGGAAUCUUAGCCAUUGGACUACGGGGGAAGUUCUAAUGGGUUUAUAUCAUCUACGUGCUCAGUUGCUUCAGUCGUGUCCGACUCUUUGCGACCCAUGGACUGUAGUGCACCAGGCUCCCCUGUCCAUGGGAUUCUCCAGGCAAGAACACUGGAGUGGGUUGCCAUGCCCUCCUCCAGGGGAUCUUCCUGACCCAGGGAUUGAACCUGCGUCUCCUUUAUUCCAGGAGACACAGGAGACACGAGUUUGAUCCCCUAGAUCUAGAAGAUUCCCUGGAGUAGGAAAUGGCAACUGAUUCCAGUAUUCUUGCCUGGAAAAUUCCAUGGACAGAGGAGUCUUGCAGGCUACAGUCUCCAUGGGGUUGCAAAGAGUCAGACAUCACUGAGCAUGCUGGAUAUAUGCCCAGAAGUGGGAUUACUGGAUCAUAUGUAGACCAUUUACUUUUAAUGUUAUUAAUCAUAUGGUUUGGCUCUCUUGUUAUUUAUCUUUGCUCCAUUUGUUCUGUCUUCCUUUUCCUCCUCGUCUACCAUCUUUUAGAUUUAUUGCUUAUUUUUUAUUCUGUUUUCUUGGUUAGAUUAUAGUUAUAAUUUUUUUAUUUUGUGGUUUUAAGGUUUAUAGUGUAUAUAUAUGCCUAUUACAGUACACCUUCAAGUUAUAUUACACUGCUUUAUGGAUAGGAUAAAAACUUACCGCAUUUCCAUUUCCCUCCUCCUGACCUUUGUACUAUUCUCAUACAUUUUAAUUCUACGUGUGUUGUAAACCUCAUAACACAUUGUUGUUACU
Molecule: long non-coding RNA, 1861 nt
Organism: Bos taurus (domestic cattle)
Lineage: Eukaryota; Metazoa; Chordata; Mammalia; Artiodactyla; Bovidae
Source: Ensembl